GUAAUUGCAUUUGAUAGAUUAGGCCGAUAUUAGUCUAAACAAGGUUGAGACUAUUCUAUAAAUUAUUACAAAAUCGCUAAUAAGGUAUAAGGCAGUAAAAUGUUCGAGACUAAUGUUGGUUUCAUUUUACUCGAAAAUACUUUUUUUUGCAUAAAA
This is a non-coding RNA of Tribolium castaneum (red flour beetle), 156 nucleotides long. NCBI's taxonomy places the organism in Eukaryota, Metazoa, Arthropoda, Insecta, Coleoptera, Tenebrionidae. The record is from RefSeq and is marked provisional.